Molecule: long non-coding RNA, 601 nt
Filed under: Ananas comosus (pineapple)
Lineage: Eukaryota; Viridiplantae; Streptophyta; Magnoliopsida; Poales; Bromeliaceae
Description: long non-coding RNA (ACOM_LNC017605)
Source: RNAcentral
ACCAGAUCAUCCACAUGUAACAACCUAACUCACUAGCAACAAUUACUCGUUAGGCUAAAACAUAGGCCCAAAAUGCUUAAGUCCAAUUAUUAUUACUAGUCUAUAAAUCUAUUAUAUAUCCAAUCAUAUUUCCAUUUCUAUUCGAUGUGGGAUUAUUAGGGUGUGACAAACUCCCCCUGUUAAAGCCCUGACGUUCUUGUAAAUUUAAUCACAUACAUAGCCCAAGAUCAAUAGGCGAUGUGAAACUCGUAUUGCUAGCCUUGUCAUCCAGACCCCUCUAAACCCUAAACCCUAAACCCUAAAACCCUAAAACCCUAAAUCCUAAACCCUAAACCCUAAAACCCUAAACCCUAAUAGCCGGUCAUCUUGUCAUUCAGAAUCCGACAUAGCUUAUCACUUUGUCUUUUAGAUCCUGACUCAGCCGAGACUCGUCACAUAUUUUCGACUGGUGAACCAGCUUUAAUACCAAAUAUAACGACUCAGCCCACUAGUAAUAAUAACUCGUUUGGCCCAAACAUCGGUCCAAAAUACUUAAACUCAAUUAUUAUUACUAGUCUCGAGAUAUUUAUGAAGUCGUCUUUUUUUUUUAUAUAAUCACAUG